RNAcentral lists this ribosomal RNA (408 nucleotides) under uncultured organism. RNAcentral's name for it is "bacterial LSU rRNA". It matches the Rfam family "Bacterial large subunit ribosomal RNA", at positions 2078 to 2485 of the family's 2925-position model. The record is from RNAcentral.
GGACAGAAAGACCCUAUGAAGCUUUACUAUAGCUUGGAAUUGGGUUCGGGCUUUAAUUGCGCAGGAUAGGUGGGAGACUAUGAAGUAGACCUUGUGGGGUUUAUGGAGUCACUGGUGAGAUACCACUCUAUUAGAGCUAGGAUUCUAACCUUUACCCAUUAACUGGGAGAGGAACAGUUUCAGGUGGGUAGUUUGACUGGGGCGGUCGCCUCCCAAACGGUAACGGAGGCGUACAAAGGUUUCCUCUGAACGGGUAGAAAUCGUAUCUAGAGUGUAAAGGCAUAAGGAAGCUUGACUGUGAGACCUACAAGUCGAGCAGGGACGAAAGUCGGUCUUAGUGAUCUGACGGUGCUGAGUGGAAAGGCCGUCACUCAACGGAUAAAAGUUACUCUAGGGAUAACAGGCUGA